Molecule: small nuclear RNA, 23 nt
Filed under: Arabidopsis thaliana (thale cress)
Lineage: Eukaryota; Viridiplantae; Streptophyta; Magnoliopsida; Brassicales; Brassicaceae
Description: snRNA_13349
Source: RNAcentral
UUGGAAUCCAAGAGAACCGGAUU